AGCUCUGUAAGCGUAUACCAAAGUUGUUGCAGUUAAAACGCUCGUAGUCGAAUUUUGGUGUGAGUUAUGGAGACUCCUACUGGAUGUUGAAGUAACUUCGCCUUUGUGGAGGGGGAUGUGGUGUUACUUAAUUGUAUUGCUGCAUUUCCGCCACUGUUUACUGUGAAAAAAUUAGAGUGUUCAAAGCGAGCGUUUGCCAUGAAUACAUUAGCAUGGAAUAAUAGAAUAGGACCUGGUUCUGUUUUAUUGGUUUGUCUGUAUCAGGUAAUGAUUAACAGGGACGGUCGGGGGUAUUUGUAUUCCAGCGUUAGAGGUGAAAUUCUUGGAUCGCUGGAAGACAGACAGCUGCGAAAGCGUCUACCAAGGACGUUUUCA
Molecule: ribosomal RNA, 375 nt
Filed under: uncultured eukaryote
Lineage: Eukaryota
Description: SSU rRNA
Rfam family: Eukaryotic small subunit ribosomal RNA
Source: RNAcentral